GAUGAACGCUGGCGGCGUGCUUAACUCAUGCAAGUCGAACGAAGCACUUAUCUUUGAUUCUUCGGAUGAAGAGGUUUGUGACUGAGUGGCGGACGGGUGAGUAACGCGUGGGUAACCUGCCUCAUACAGGGGGAUAACAGUUAGAAAUGACUGCUAAUACCGCAUAAGACCACAGAGCCGCAUGGCUCAGUGGGAAAAACUCCGGUGGUAUGAGAUGGACCCGCGUCUGAUUAGGUAGUUGGUGGGGUAACGGCCUACCAAGCCAACGAUCAGUAGCCGACCUGAGAGGGUGACCGGCCACAUUGGGACUGAGACACGACCCAAACUCCUACGGGAGGCAGCAGUGGGGAAUAUUGCACAAUGGGGGAAACCCUGAUGCAGCGACGCCGCGUGAGCGAAGAAGUAUUUCGGUAUGUAAAGCUCUAUCAGCAGGGAAGAAAAUGACGGUACCUGACUAAGAAGCACCGGCUAAAUACGUGCCAGCAGCCGCGGUAAUACGUAUGGUGCAAGCGUUAUCCGGAUUUACUGGGUGUAAAGGGAGCGUAGACGGCUGUGUAAGUCUGAAGUGAAAGCCCGGGGCUCAACCCCGGGACUGCUUUGGAAACUAUGCAGCUAGAGUGUCGGAGAGGUAAGUGGAAUUCCCAGUGUAGCGGUGAAAUGCGUAGAUAUUGGGAGGAACACCAGUGGCGAAGGCGGCUUACUGGACGAUGACUGACGU
RNAcentral lists this ribosomal RNA (718 nucleotides) under uncultured Lachnospiraceae bacterium. Its description in RNAcentral is "bacterial SSU rRNA". It matches the Rfam family "Bacterial small subunit ribosomal RNA", at positions 28 to 746 of the family's 1533-position model. Lineage: Bacteria; Bacillati; Bacillota; Clostridia; Lachnospirales; Lachnospiraceae. The record is from RNAcentral.